This 228-nucleotide ribosomal RNA is filed under the name uncultured bacterium. Its description in RNAcentral is "partial 16S ribosomal RNA". It matches the Rfam family "Bacterial small subunit ribosomal RNA", at positions 568 to 795 of the family's 1533-position model. The record is from RNAcentral.
UGCGUAGGCGGAUCAAUAAGUCAGUGGUGAAAUCUCUCGGCUCAACCUGGAAACUGCCAUUGAUACUGUUGAUCUUGAGUUCGGUUGAGGUAGGCGGAAUGUGUAAUGUAGCGGUGAAAUGCUUAGAUAUUACACAGAACACCAAUUGCGUAGGCAGCUUACUAGACCGACACUGACGCUGAGGCACGAAAGCGUGGGGAGCGAACAGGAUUAGAUACCCUGGUAGUC